UUUGAUUAUUUAAUUUUGAUUUCGAAUCAAAAAAAACAAAAAUCAAAA
This 48-nucleotide transfer RNA is filed under the name Amphitetranychus viennensis (hawthorn spider mite). RNAcentral's name for it is "tRNA-Arg". The record is from RNAcentral. Lineage: Eukaryota; Metazoa; Arthropoda; Arachnida; Trombidiformes; Tetranychidae.